GACGAACGCUGGCGGCGUGCCUAAUACAUGCAAGUUGAGCGAUGAAGAUUGGUGCUUGCACCAAUUUGAAGAGCAGCGAACGGGUGAGUAACGCGUGGGGAAUCUGCCUUUGAGCGGGGGACAACAUUUGGAAACGAAUGCUAAUACCGCAUAACAACUUUAAACAUAAGUUUUAAGUUUGAAAGAUGCAAUUGCAUCACUCAAAGAUGAUCCCGCGUUGUAUUAGCUAGUUGGUGAGGUAAAGGCUCACCAAGGCGAUGAUACAUAGCCGACCUGAGAGGGUGAUCGGCCACAUUCGGACUGAGACACGGCCCAAACUCCUACGGGAGGCAGCAGUAGGGAAUCUUCGGCAAUGGACGAAAGUCUGACCGAGCAACGCCGCGUGAGUGAAGAAGGUUUUCGGAUCGUAAAACUCUGUUGGUAGAGAAGAACGUUGGUGAGAGUGGAAAGCUCAUCAAGUGACGGUAACUACCCAGAAAGGGACGGCUAACUACGUG
RNAcentral lists this ribosomal RNA (497 nucleotides) under uncultured bacterium. RNAcentral describes it as "partial 16S ribosomal RNA". It matches the Rfam family "Bacterial small subunit ribosomal RNA", at positions 28 to 507 of the family's 1533-position model. The record is from RNAcentral.